Molecule: ribosomal RNA, 253 nt
Filed under: uncultured bacterium
Lineage: Bacteria
Description: partial 16S ribosomal RNA
Rfam family: Archaeal small subunit ribosomal RNA
Source: RNAcentral
UACCAGCACCCCGAGUGGUCGGGACGAUUAUUGGGCCUAAAGCAUCCGUAGCCGGUUUUACAAGUCCUCCGUUAAAUCCAUCUGCUUAACAGAUGGGCUGCGGAGGAUACUAUAAGACUAGGAGGCAGGAGAGGCAAGCGGUACUCAGUGGGUAGGGGUAAAAUCCGUUGAUCCAUUGAAGACCACCAGUGGCGAAGGCGGCUUGCCAGAAUGCGCUCGACGGUGAGGGAUGAAAGCUGGGGGAGCAAACCGG